Long non-coding RNA from Gossypium raimondii (Peruvian cotton), 327 nucleotides. RefSeq lists it as uncharacterized. The record is from RefSeq and is a predicted model, not a curated record. Lineage: Eukaryota; Viridiplantae; Streptophyta; Magnoliopsida; Malvales; Malvaceae. The transcript has 3 exons.
CAAAAUCAGAAAGGGGGAAGCCAUAGUUAGGGUUUUUAAGAUUCCAAGCUCAAUAAUCAAGAAAAACGAGAAGACUACCUCAAACGGGGAAAAGAAAAGAUAGUGGAGUAAAUUGCAAAAUUACGAUAUUUUGCACCGAGUGACAUCAGCUAGUUCGGAACUUGGACGAAGUCAGGAAAUCAUCCACACUAUCAUCAACUUUUUGUGUAUUUUGGCAAUCAACACUUUUGAAACAUGGCAUGUAUAGAUGACUUUAUGUAAUAUAGUAUAAAUAUGUAUAUAUAGUAUUGUUCGGUUUAAUAAGUAGGUGAUUAUCAAUGGAUAAAU